Molecule: long non-coding RNA, 3276 nt
Filed under: Triticum aestivum (bread wheat)
Lineage: Eukaryota; Viridiplantae; Streptophyta; Magnoliopsida; Poales; Poaceae
Description: long non-coding RNA (TAES_LNC005203)
Source: RNAcentral
CCGGAGUGAAGCCAUGUUUGGCAUGCUAGCUGGGCAGUGUGGUCUUGGCAUUGGGUGGUCGCUGGGUAAUUGGGGCGGCGCGGUGUGCGGCAUCGGCAUAGGUCUUGGGCCGUGCUAUGCACGGAACUGUGGCUGGUGAUCCCACCGGAGUUGUGGCAGGUGAUUGCGGCAGCGCUGUAUUGGGCUACUACUACAUGGCAAAGUUGCCGCUGUUUCAAUUGAAGUUUGGUUGAGCAUGAGUGCACGGGAGGAGGUGAGCAACUCCAAUUUUUGUGAUUUCUGUUCCAAAAUUCCAAUUAGCUUCGUUUCCUUUGUGAUGUUCUUCCCAAAUUGAUAUCCGUGCAUCUGGUUGCUCCCGAUCUGCUUGCUCCUGCGCCCCUUGAGGUCCUGAUUUGACUACCAACCUGUGGAUCUAGGUUCUCCCGGUGGUGGAGUUCAUGGAGCUCCAGUGGCUAAGGACUUGACCGGCAAGCUGGAGGCCACCACAAUCAGCGUCCUCCAGCUCUAACACUAAUCAUUCAUCUCAUCUAGUCACGUGGGUUAUGUGGGUAUGUGGCCAUCCUUGCCUGCUUCAAUAAUUUUCAGUUGCUUCAAUUCCUAAUCUAGUUCGUAGCAGACGUGCAGAUAGUAGAAUCUUGCCUCCCAUAUGUUCAGGUGAUAUGUUGCUAUUUGAACUGAAAUCCCAUUGUAUGUCUUGACAAGUGAACGAUGCAAAAAUAGUGUACUGACUAUCUAAUCGUUGUUAGGUUUUCUCUUCUCUAUUUGAAGGCGAUGAUCUUGUGGCAAUUGGUUCCAUUUGACUUGGUGCCUGCACCACCGUAUACACAAGUUUCUUCAGUUUAUUCGGGUGGUUUCCUCUGUCAUAAUGGCAAAGAAAGGCGCUAGAUCCAAUUAGAUGAUGUAAAAGUCACUGCUAGAUUUCAAGAAUUUCUUACUGCCAGCAUUCUCAGGUAGCAGAGAUUGCCAAUCAUCGUUAAGAAUGUUUUUUUCAUGUUUCUAGCGUAUAUGGUCAUUGUGGCACCCCUUGCAUCAUCAUGGAAUCCACAUGUUUCAAAAAGUGACAUGCAAAUGGUACCAAAGAGUGUAUUCGCAUCAUCAUAUACCAUAGUAACAUACUAUUACAACUUUACAAGUGAUAGUUUGAAGUAGAUCAUGCUUCCUCCUUCAUCAUCAUGUUUUUCUAACAUCUUGGUUUAGUUGAUCCAGAGAUACAUUUAUCAUUCAUGUUGAUUAUGCAGUCGAAGCUUAUCAAUUCAUCGCUGUUGAACUUUGUAGUUUUGAUCUAGAUAACUCUCUGCCUGCAAAACAAAAUGUAGUUAGCUCCCAUAUGAACGUGUAUUUAUAAGAUUUUUGGAGGUUGAGGAGCUUGAAGAAAAUGCACUUCUUUUGCAUGUGCCUAUAUAUACCUCUCAGAUCUUCUAAUGAAAACUGAAAGAUUUUGUCUCCAGUGUGAUCUCGUGAUUAUACUACUUGUUCUAUACAAAGAAAUCUAUGUGUAUAUGGAGUACUAGCAGUUUUUACCUUGAGGAUUACUUUUCUUUUCAAGAUGGAAUUUUGGUACUUAGUAUACUCCUUACUGCCUUGUUUUCUGGCUGGGCUCAGAAUAUCAUUUUCUUUAUCGAAUGUUGUGACUAAUGGAAUUUUUAGUGGACACCCCGGCAAUUUUAUUUAUUACUCAAAUUAUCUAUGUUUUCAUUUCUUGUUUGAAACUCCUCGACAUAAAAAUUACUAAAGCUUCACCAUCUAGCGAAGAACGGAUGCAUCAACUCUCAUUUGAUUCACAAAAUGAUAAACUGUCCCGUUUUUUACCCUUCUCGGUAUUAUUCAUAGACUUGCUUUACAAUUUAAAAUUAGGAUCUAUUUUGCAAUUUCAAAAUCCAUACUCAAUGUUGCUAAACACGUCCAAAUGGCGAACAUGUUUUUAGUACAGUACAUGAAAGGCUAAUUCUAUGCUGGUGAAGAGAUAUCCCAGGUUUUUUCAUACUGUAAUGGGUUUGAGUUGUUUCUGAUUUAAAAAUGUUAAUGUAGCGUUCUCAUGCAGGCCUUAGUUUCUUGGUUUUGUUGUUCGCUGCAGUCCUGGUAUAAUCCUUUGUUCUUCUAUAUUUGUUUACCACAUCUGUAUUUACACCUGACUUUAUGCAUUGUGCCAUCAAUGUUAGAGGCCUCAUCGCGGGCUGUUUUUUGAGCAUUGUACAACUUCACUGAAAGUAAAUUUGCUACUGCAAUUAAGGGCGACCUAACUAUGGCCUGCAGUGUUGUUGAGCAAUAUAAAGGCCCGACAUUACCUUUUAUUUGUUCAACAUUAUCCUUAAAAUGCAUAGCUCCUAAAAUAAGUUUGUAGAGCACGAAUUGCAAUCUAAAAAAUGAGCUGCCUGCUGAACCAGCAACCGAAGAUGUGGGUGGUGCGGUAAGACAUACGUCAACCAUCUAUUACUAAAAGAGGAUUCCUAUUUGUCCAAUUUUUACUUUUGAUCAGGGAUUGCAGAUUUAAUAUUUACUUUUUUCAACAAGUAAUUUUUUUGGGUUUUGCUUCAAAUUUUAUCUUCUGUGAAGUGUUGGUUUUGCUCAUCCUUAACCCAUUCUUUCUCCCCCGCAAAAAAACAUUCUUGUAGAGCUAUCUAUUUAAAUAUGAUUAAUUUCUUCUUCUUUGGGGUUACUCUACCACUACCAUAGAAAAGCUAUCAUUUGGUUCCUUGUCAUAUUUAUUUAGUUCCUUGUAAUAUGUCAUUGAUGGUUUAUGGAGAGUACAUUUCAAACUAAUGUUCCUCUUUUCAGCAUACAGUUUUCCUUUCUUACAUUUUGCAAUGCAUCAGGACAGAAACAUGACAGAUUGAGCUGCAAUGGUAUGUGUACAUGUAACAGGUUUUCAAGCUCUGGAAAACUUUUUCAGUAAUCGAAUCGUUGCUGAAACUACAUGGUCAUCCAGAUGAGGAUGUUCAGAAGGCUAACUGGAAAUGCAUCUUGGGCAGAAAUUGUAGGGUCAUGCAGAUGGGGAUUUUGCAACCUCUAAUCGGAAAUCCAAAUGUUUGCAUUUUGCCCAGACCGGUGCCCUUCUCAAGAUUGACGUGAGGCUGUUCUACUACAGAAAGAUAGUUUUGUCUAUAGAUAUAGAUUUGUUUAGAUGCUACUUUGUCAAGCAGCCUAUUGAUUUUAUUGUUUUAUGAUUUACGUGUGAUGAACUCACAUCGUCUUUGUUCAUUGUAAACUGGUCUAGUUAUACCAUGAAAUGCAAGUGCUUUUCGAGUAGUUCUUAUGUGGUGGAAUGCACAAUUCCAG